UACAGAGGUCCCAAGCGUUGUUCGGAUUCAUUGGGCGUAAAGGGUGCGUAGGCGGCGCGGUAAGUCGGGUGUGAAAUCUUGGAGCUUAACUCCGAAACUGCAUUCGAUACUGCCGUGCUUGAGGACUGGAGAGGAGACUGGAAUUUACGGUGUAGCGGUGAAAUGCGUAGAUAUCGUAAGGAAGACCAGUGGUGAAGGCGGGUCUCUGGACAGUUCCUGACGCUGAGGCACGAAGGUCAGGGGAGCAAACGGG
Molecule: ribosomal RNA, 253 nt
Filed under: uncultured bacterium
Lineage: Bacteria
Description: partial 16S ribosomal RNA
Rfam family: Bacterial small subunit ribosomal RNA
Source: RNAcentral